AUUAUAUUUGGUUUUUGUGUAAAUAAAGUUUUUGAGAUAUCUGUUUCUUAUACAGUUUAAGUAUCUGAUACCGUCCCUAUCUGGGGACCAUAUAUUAAGAUGGAUUUUUGGAUACAGGGGAUGGUAAGAAGAGCUUGCUCUGAUCCACUCCACGCAUCGACCUGGUAUUGCAGUACCUCCAGGACCGGUGCACCUCUC
This is a small nuclear RNA of Xenopus tropicalis (tropical clawed frog), 198 nucleotides long. Its record names the gene U2. It matches the Rfam family "U2 spliceosomal RNA". From Rfam's summary of the family: U2 is a small nuclear RNA (snRNA) component of the spliceosome (involved in pre-mRNA splicing). Complementary binding between U2 snRNA (in an area lying towards the 5' end but 3' to hairpin I) and the branchpoint sequence (BPS) of the intron results the bulging out of an unpaired adenosine, on the BPS, which initiates a nucleophilic attack at the intronic 5' splice site, thus starting the first of two transesterification reactions that mediate splicing. NCBI's taxonomy places the organism in Eukaryota, Metazoa, Chordata, Amphibia, Anura, Pipidae. The record is from Ensembl.